GCCCUCGUAGUGAAAUGGAUAUCACGCGACGCUUCGAACGUCGUAGUCCAAGUUCGAAUCUUGGCGAGGGCACAA
This 75-nucleotide transfer RNA is filed under the name Candidatus Nealsonbacteria bacterium RIFCSPHIGHO2_01_FULL_43_31. RNAcentral's name for it is "tRNA-Arg". It matches the Rfam family "tRNA". Rfam says of the family: Transfer RNA (tRNA) molecules are approximately 80 nucleotides in length. Lineage: Bacteria; Candidatus Nealsoniibacteriota. The record is from RNAcentral. RNAcentral also lists the same sequence under 2 other names.